RNAcentral lists this non-coding RNA (186 nucleotides) under Rhodobacteraceae bacterium HIMB11. Lineage: Bacteria; Pseudomonadati; Pseudomonadota; Alphaproteobacteria; Rhodobacterales; Paracoccaceae. RNAcentral also lists the same sequence under 1 other name. The record is from RNAcentral.
GCACGCUCAUUCUACUAAGGUGCCUGCAGUGCAGGAUAAUUGGGAAGUCGGUGAAAAUCCGACACUGCCCCCGCAACGGUGAGGGUGGAAGCAAACAAAACCACUGAAGCGAUUUGGGAAGGUUUGUUUGUGUGGCACGUGCCAUCCGCCCCGAGUCCGGAAACCAGCCUUGGUUAAAUGUAACUU